Molecule: ribosomal RNA, 433 nt
Filed under: uncultured organism
Description: bacterial SSU rRNA
Rfam family: Bacterial small subunit ribosomal RNA
Source: RNAcentral
AACGAACGCUGGCGGCAGGCCUAACACAUGCAAGUCGAACGCCGUAGCAAUACGGAGUGGCAGACGGGUGAGUAACACGUGGGAACGUACCUUUCGGUUCGGAAUAACUCAGGGAAACUUGAGCUAAUACCGGAUACGUGCGAGAGCAGAAAGAUUUAUCGCCGAAAGAUCGGCCCGCGUCCGAUUAGCUAGUUGGUGAGGUAAUGGCUCACCAAGGCGACGAUCGGUAGCUGGUCUGAGAGGAUGAUCAGCCACACUGGGACUGAGACACGGCCCAGACUCCUACGGGAGGCAGCAGUGGGGAAUAUUGGACAAUGGGCGCAAGCCUGAUCCAGCCAUGCCGCGUGAGUGAUGAAGGCCCUAGGGUUGUAAAGCUCUUUCGCCAGGGACGAUAAUGACGGUACCUGGAUAAGAAGCCCCGGCUAACUUCGUG